AUACGUAGGGUGCGAGCGUUAAUCGGAAUUACUGGGUGUAAAGCGUGCGCAGGCGGUUUUUUAAGUCUGAUGUGAAAGUCCCGGGCUUAACCUGGGAACGGCAUUUGAGACUGGUCGACUAGAGUACGGGAGAGGGGGGUGGAAUUCCUCGUGUAGCGGUGAAAUGCGUGGAGAUCAAACGGGAUUAGAUCCCCUGGUAGUCCACGCCCUAAACGAUGUCAAUUAGCUGUUGGGGGUUUGAAUCCUUGGUAGCGUAGCUAACGCGUGAAAUUGACCGCCUGGGGAGUACGGCCGCAAGGUUAA
This 303-nucleotide ribosomal RNA is filed under the name uncultured bacterium. RNAcentral describes it as "bacterial SSU rRNA". It matches the Rfam family "Bacterial small subunit ribosomal RNA", at positions 523 to 897 of the family's 1533-position model. The record is from RNAcentral.